This is a long non-coding RNA of Cyprinus carpio carpio, 1205 nucleotides long. NCBI's taxonomy places the organism in Eukaryota, Metazoa, Chordata, Actinopteri, Cypriniformes, Cyprinidae. The record is from Ensembl.
AAUGGCUUCUCCUGCUAUUGUUAUUUGCACUGCUUGCCACAUGUAUAGUUUAUCUAUCUCUGUCGGUGAUGAGGGAUUCACAUGUGAUAAAUGCAGGGAAAUAGUUAGGCUGACAGAGAAGAUUUCAGAAUUAGAGACACGCAUCCAAACUUUAAUUGAGGACAGUAAGAAUGUGAGGGCUCUAGAUACAGCUUUGGAUGCGUCUAGCUCACGGAGUCCUGUACAUUGUUCGGUUCCGGUAACAGGGCCUUUGCAGCAGGGCAAUUGGGUGACUGUGAGGCGGCAUAGUCGUGGGUCUAAACACCACUCUUCUGUUCCGAUCAAAACAUUAAACAGGUUCUCCCCACUCAGAAGCAGACAGACUGGCUAAACCGACCGUCUGCUAGCCGCCUCCAGUCACAGAAGUCAGUUAAUUCUCAGCACAUAGAGACUCUUUCACCUAGAUAUCACACUAUAGAGACUGUGUCUGUUCCCGGGGCUAGAAGAUACAAAAAACAUCCAAACCAAUUUAAGAGCAACAAUUUAAUUGAGGUUCAACAAAUAAAAAACAGAUGUAAUACGGAUAAACAAAUGAUAAAGUUUGGCUUAUUGAAUAUCAGGUCCCUUUCUACGAAAGCACUUUUUGUAAAUAAUAUGAUCACUGAUCAUAAUCUAGAUGCACUCUGUUUGACAGAAACCUGGCUAAAACCUGAUGACCCCAAGAUUACUGUUAUAAACAUGAGCCACGUCCAAAAGGUAAAGGGGGAGGUGUUGCUUCAAUUUAUAACAAUGUUUUCAGGAUUUCUCAGAGGGCAGGCUUCAAGUAUAACUCGUUUGAAGUAUUGGUGCUUAAUAUAACAUUAUCCAGAGAAACAAAUGUUAAUGAUAAAUCCCCUGUGAUGUUUGUACUGGCUACUGUAUACAGGCCACCAGGGCACCAUACAGACUUUAUUUAAGAGUUUGCUGAUUUUACAUCAGAGUUAGUGCUGGCUGCAGAUAAAGUUUUAAUUGUUGGUGAUUUUAAUAUCCAUGUUGAUAAUGAAAAAGAUGCAUUGGGAUCAGCAUUUAUAGACAUUCUGAACUCUAUUGGGGUUAGACAACACGUCUCAGGACCUACUCAUUGUCGAAAUCAUACUCUAGAUUUAAUACUGUCACAUGGAAUUGAUGUUGAUGGUGUUGAAAUUAUGCAGCCAAGUGAUGAUAUCUCAGAUCAUUAUUUAGUUUUG